RNAcentral lists this ribosomal RNA (301 nucleotides) under uncultured bacterium. RNAcentral describes it as "partial 16S ribosomal RNA". It matches the Rfam family "Bacterial small subunit ribosomal RNA", at positions 509 to 807 of the family's 1533-position model. The record is from RNAcentral.
CAGCCGCCGCGGUAAUACGGAGGGUGCGAGCGUUAAUCGGAAUUACUGGGCGUAAAGAGUGCGUAGGUGGUUAAUUAAGUUAUCUGUGAAAUUCCUGGGCUUAACCUGGGCAGGUCAGAUAAUACUGGUUAACUCGAGUAUGGGAGAGGGUAGUGGAAUUUCCGGUGUAGCGGUGAAAUGCGUAGAUAUCGGAAGGAACACCUGUGGCGAAAGCGGCUCACUGGACCAUAACUGACGCUGAGGCACGAAAGCUAGGGGAGCAAACAGGAUUAGAUACCCGCGUAGUCCCUGUCUCUUAUAC